AGUGAACGCUGGCGGUAGGCCUAACACAUGCAAGUCGAACGGCAGCACAGUAAGAGCUUGCUCUUACGGGUGGCGAGUGGCGGACGGGUGAGGAAUACAUCGGAAUCUACUUUUUCGUGGGGGAUAACGUAGGGAAACUUACGCUAAUACCGCAUACGACCUACGGGUGAAAGCAGGGGAUCUUCGGACCUUGCGCGAUUGAAUGAGCCGAUGUCGGAUUAGCUAGUUGGCGGGGUAAAGGCCCACCAAGGCGACGAUCCGUAGCUGGUCUGAGAGGAGGAUCAGCGACACGGGAACUGAGACACGGUCCAGACUCCUGAGGGAGGGAGCAGUGGGGAAUAUUGGACAAUGGGCGCAAGCCUGAUCCAGCCAUACCGCGUGGGUGAAGGAGACCUUCGGGUUGUGAAGCCCUUUUGUUGGGAAAGAAAAGCAGCAGGUUAAUACCCCGCUGUUCUGACGGUACCCAAAGAAUAAGCACCGGCUAACUUCGUG
RNAcentral lists this ribosomal RNA (492 nucleotides) under uncultured bacterium. RNAcentral describes it as "partial 16S ribosomal RNA". It matches the Rfam family "Bacterial small subunit ribosomal RNA", at positions 29 to 507 of the family's 1533-position model. The record is from RNAcentral.